AGAGUUUGAUUAUGGCUCAGGAUGAACGCUGGCGGCGUGCCUAACACAUGCAAGUCGAACGGGGUUAUUCAGGAAAUUUCCUUCGGGGAAUGGAAUCUUUAACCUAGUGGCGGACGGGUGAGUAACGCGUGAGCAAUCUGCCUUCGGAUGGGGGAUAACAGCCGGAAACGGCUGCUAAUACCGCAUAACACAUGGGAUCCGCAUGUUUCCCAUGUCAAAGAUUUAUCGUCCGGAGAUGAGCUCGCGUCUGAUUAGCUGGUUGGCGGGGUAACGGCCCACCAAGGCGACGAUCAGUAGCCGGACUGAGAGGUUGAACGGCCACAUUGGGACUGAGACACGGCCCAGACUCCUACGGGAGGCAGCAGUGGGGAAUAUUGCGCAAUGGGGGCAACCCUGACGCAGCAACGCCGCGUGAUUGAAGAAGGCCUUCGGGUUGUAAAGAUCUUUAAUCGGGGACGAAUUUUGACGGUACCCGAAGAAUAAGCUCCGGCUAACUACGUGCCAGCAGCCGCGGUAAUACGUAGGGAGCAAGCGUUAUCCGGAUUUACUGGGUGUAAAGGGCGUGUANGCGGGCAUGCAAGCCAGAAGUGAAAUCUGGGGGCUUAACCCCCAAACUGCUUUUGGAACUGCGUGU
Molecule: ribosomal RNA, 634 nt
Filed under: uncultured bacterium
Lineage: Bacteria
Description: bacterial SSU rRNA
Rfam family: Bacterial small subunit ribosomal RNA
Source: RNAcentral